CUUAAUAAACCUUAUAUCUACCUUGCAUACACGACUUACUUACUUGCUUACUUACGUAUUACUUUUCCUUUAUUUUCUAUCUCUGUAAUUACCUUUACGCAUUACUCAUUCCUUUACCUUCUUUUAAAGAGAGUUUAUCAUUUUAGAAAAAAAAUCCACGCCUUUUAAUGUGACAAUAACGACGAUAUUAGUUUCUCGCGCAAGAUUCGUCGAGGGCAUAGGCACGAUAAAAAGGGACCACUCCUCUUUUCGAUAACUCUCCGUAUUACGUAAAUCGAUUGUUCUGAUGGCAUACCGGCCACUAUGAGGACGACGACGACGAGGACAUGCGGGCCACCAUCCCACAUUGUCUUGUUGCACAGAGAGAGAGGUCUUCCAAAAACGCAUAAUCUAUCUCUCUUUCAUUUUACUUCAAGAUCGAUCCGAAUUUAAGAAAAACGAUAGCAGAAUCCUAAACUUCUGCUAUUAUAAUGCUUAUCAUUAGAAGUUUUAUCUAACGCUAACGCGUUAGACGAACUCGCACGCGAUUAAUCUCCUAUUUAAAUAUUCUUAUAUUUUUAAUGUAUAUAUGUAUCAUUAAUUUUGAACGAUAAUUGUACACAUAAGAAGACAUAAAUGUUAUCAUAUAUGUAUUAAAAUAUACACAAAAUGUACAACAUAAAUCGCAUCUCAGCCGUCACGCAAUAUGAUCAAGCGAGCUCAGCGGUAAAAAAAUAGGAUUUUGACGAAUUAAAAUGUUUCUUUUUUUUUUUUUAAUUCUAAUGCGGAACUCUCUUGAUAUAUAUGUAUGUAUGUAUGUAUAUAUGUAUGUAUAUAUGCUCCGUUUUUCUACAACAAAGUACAAAGAUAGGAAAUGGCUUAUCGCACCACAGAGUAUGAUGAUCUUAUUAUUGCGCAAUACAUAUUGUUCACAAAUAUCGGAAAGCGUUAAAUAAGAAAUAAAUUAAAUUUAUUGAAGAGAAAAGAAAAAGGAAUAAUAAAAAA
Long non-coding RNA from Polistes dominula (European paper wasp), 984 nucleotides. RefSeq lists it as uncharacterized. NCBI's taxonomy places the organism in Eukaryota, Metazoa, Arthropoda, Insecta, Hymenoptera, Vespidae. The record is from RefSeq and is a predicted model, not a curated record.